This 32-nucleotide non-coding RNA is filed under the name Mus musculus (house mouse). Lineage: Eukaryota; Metazoa; Chordata; Mammalia; Rodentia; Muridae. The record is from RNAcentral.
UGCAGAGGACCACGCCACAGACCCUAUCCAAU